Long non-coding RNA from Chelonia mydas (Green sea turtle), 2402 nucleotides. RefSeq lists it as uncharacterized. Lineage: Eukaryota; Metazoa; Chordata; Testudines; Cheloniidae. The transcript is spliced from 2 exons. The record is from RefSeq and is a predicted model, not a curated record.
UACCUGCUUAGGGCAAAGAUCUGGCCUGUUCCUCACUGAUGCUCUGGAGAGUAGGGGAAGUGGGGCGGAAGAGGGCCCAGGUGAAACCUCCCUCUCUAUCCCCAUCUGGGCAAGAGCAGGGCAAGAUGAGGAACUACCAUUUUCUGGAAUACUAGGUGAGGAGAUGACGAAUGAGCCGGAUGGUCCCUGAGGGUAUGCCCAGCCAGCCCAGCAGUGUGACUGGGCCUCCAGCCUUCCUGCACCUGCCUCAUCAGCAGGCACUUCUUGGAGCAGUGAUGAAGGGCUGUAGAACACAUUUCCCUCUUGGCUCUGGGGAGCCAUCCUCUCCUUGCACAUGCAGAAGGCCCCACGCACCCCUCAGUUUUCCACCCCAGUGUGGAUGCCUCCCAAGAGUUUGCCCUUUGGCAGUGGUCCAGUCUAGUGCACAGCAAGAAUAGAGAGCAGAUGAAAGUUUAAGGCCUAAAAAGACUCUGGAGAAAAAAAUAUUUAAAAAAAAACUCUCUUUAGCUCAUUUAAAAAUUAAACAUGUUCUGUUUUAUAUGAUCAUUUUAUUGCAUGUUAAUGUUGAAUCUAUUGCUCAGGCACUCAUAGAAAAUGACACUGCCAGAGACCUCCUGGAGCACAGAGAUGGUGAGGGAGCUACCAAUCACUUUAAAUGAGAGAUGAACUUCAGCUUUGUGGAUGGUGACAGCCCUCCCAUGUGUGUGGGGAAGCAUGGGAGACUCAUGAAGGUCCAUGUUUGAAAAUGUAACAAGUGGGCAAUGAAGGCUGGCAUGGUGGGCUGAUCAGAGGUGAGCAGUGACAGUUUACUAGUAAAUGAGAGAUGAUUGGUAGCAUGGGGAGUGACUGUGAAGGGCCUUGAAAGUGAAUAUAACCCCAUUGAAGUGGCACAUUUGUAACCGAGGGCAGAUUUGGGCCCAAUAUACACAAUAGGAAUAGUGUGUCUGGGCCAUAUUUAUGAGGCUGUUUGCAUGUAUAAUUAGUGACAGAAGCAUAUUUCAAAAUCCCCACAUUUCAGAUUUUGCAAGUGUUCGCUGUUAGCGCCCAUAGCUAAUAAUUAUUUGUUUCUGAAUUCUAAAAUAACUAAUCUCAGCAGAUAAUGGUGUGUGAGGACAAACGGUGGGAACGGGGACAUGUUUUAGAGCUGCAAUCGCUCACUGAAAUGAGGCUGAUGUUUGUGUGUGUUCUGAUGCUCAGUAAGCAGAAGUUAAUAUAGUUAGACAACAGGGCUCAGUUUGGGGGAAAAAUCAAUAAUGUCAGGGAAUUUAUUACAGGGUUAUGGGCCACCUGCUAGAACUCAGCAUUAGGCCUGUAUUACGUUACACUUCAACAGGAUCUAUUAACAUUGCAGUAAGUCCACGCUAGUGCUAGAAUUGUUAUUUUAUGCUUCACCAGAUGGCUUCUGCUCAGGGGGAUUUAUCUUUGAGUGCAGACAUAUGACUAAUCAUCACUUGCUUUCUCUUUCUUUACUAACGCAAGUGGAGCAGGAAGCAAUUGCCACUCUGAUGAUGGUUCAUUAUUGCUGGGUUUAUUCUGUCUGAAACAGCACAGCAAGAGGUGAAGAGAGUACAAAAGAAGAUAAUCAACCACUUAUCAAUGAGAUAUGCGGGGAAGCUGGGCUCAGAAGAAAUUCCAAGUUACCAGGCCUGGACUAGAUGACCUCCUGAGAUUUCAAAAGGCUUUACAAAUAAAUCUUCAUUUAACUGAUGGGAAAACUGAGUCACAGAGCCAUGAAAUGACUUGCCAAGGUCAUCCAGCAAGUUAGUGGAGGAGCCAAGAAUAGAAUUAACAUCUUCUACCUCUGGUCCAGUGUCCUAGCCAUUAGACUAUGCUGCCUUUGAGGAGUAAAGGGGUUUACUUUGCUUGGGUAAGUGCUAAGUAUUAUAUUUGAUUAGCUAUAAGUGCUAAGUAUUAUUAUUUGAUUAAGAGAAAAUUAAUGCUGAGCAAAUCAUGGAAAAUAUGUUCAACAAAUGCUUGGUUUGUACCUUCCCAUGAAUUUGUUUCAGUUUUGCCCCAUCUGUGUUUCUCCGAAUUAAUUUUACUGGCAGAAAUGCCAAAUGUCAAGGUUUUAUGUGCAAGUAUUCAGGACAGCAAUCUGACACUAGCACAUAUAGAUAUUUCCUCUGGAAGCACUUGCUCACUUGCCCAAUCAGGAAACAGAGACAAUACUAUGUACCUAAUGUGACCAAUCACAACUAAGCAAUACAGUACAAAUUUCAAAUGACCCCAAUAAACCCAUAAAGGAAAGUAUUUUUGAAAAGAUAGUAAAAUUAAAAUUGUAUUAAUAAUUAAAUCAGAGGAAAACACAACCAGUUUGUGAAUGUUCUGUGGACGGAAAAAGAGACUGAAUUUGCCUAAGAAAUCAUAAGUUGUGAAUUUGUCAUUCAGCUGUACAGGAAAAA